CAUAAAUAUAUACUCGUUUCCCAGGUAAAUUCUUCCAGGUUUUUCUUGGUAACUGAGAGACCUAUGUGGGCCAUUCAGAGCAGGGGUUGGGGAGGGCAGGGCAGAAGAAUCCCAUAGAGAUUGGCAGUGACAGCAGCAAUGUUGGUCCAUGUCACACAGUCAGCCUGGUCUGUGGGUGAAUUUGCAGUUCUGUGAAAGAGUGAGUGUGCAAUUGUACAGCCAGAGAAGGAGACCGCUGGGACACUGUGACAAUUGUCUUUGUCCUCGUUGAAGGUGGUGCUGUUUAAUUAUAGAAUGAAAAUAAUCCAGAAAUAGAUACCAACUGCUUAAUACAUAAAUUAGUAACCGUGCCAUGAGUGGAUAAUGUGAGCAGUUUGGUCUUGAAAUAACAGCUCUAUUUUGUGUAAGCCUGAGAAUUCUGAAGAAAGGCUUUCUAUUUCCCUUUUUCUUUUAUUGCCGUUAAAUAGAAACCUGAAAGUUAACAAAGCCUCAGCUGAUACCAGUCAGCUUUGUGAACAAGCAAACCAACCACCGGCUGGGAAGCAUCUAUUGUAUGGCUCCUCAAUUCACAGCGGAAACCAAAUUACAAGAAUACAUGGUGCAAAAAGCAUUCUCCAUGUCAGCAGCCAAAACAACUCAUCUGGGACUUGCAAGUUCCAGCUGCCACGCUCGGCAUUUUGAUCCAGUGUUCCGGCUAAAGCUUGAAAUGACAGAGCUGCUGCCAUAUGUGAAAUCUGCCUUCGCUCUGUUUACUGUUUCAUUUCAUCCUUGAUUUGCUGUCACUUUUAGGGGUAUUGAACACAUUAUUGAAGGGCUAAGUGGAUGCCUGCAACAGUCCUUAAACUGUCUUCGAUUUUCACAGCCAGAUAUUUGAAUAGAGUUGCUGCAACUGAAACCAGGGUGUAAAAACAUUUAUAUUUGUUUAUUGGAGAAAAUAAUCAGUAGAAUAUGACUACGCUGUUUAAAGACCUGUUUGAAUCAGAGAUUACAGACACUGUACCGGGACGGGUUGGCGUGUCUAAGCGCUGAGCAAUGGAGAUGCUGUGGAGCCUGGACCACGCUGCUGUGGGGAUUGCAGUCCUGAAGCAGGUCGGAGCAGCCCUGCACAAGGGGAUGGCUUCCAGCCUCAGCCAAGAGUCAGCCAGAAGAUGGCCAAGGGAGAGAGGGAAACAAGGAGACGACAGGCCAUCUGGACAACGGUAGACAUCUUUCUGCCAGCAGGCACCUGAGGAAGAAUUUCUUUCCCAGCAAACACACCAAGGAAGUCUGGGAGGGCACCAACACUUGCAGCCUAGAGCAGGAGCCGAGGGUGUCUGCAGGCCUGAGGUGGGAGGUGCACAUCAGAGUCCACCUGACGCCAGUGUGGUGAGUUUGGGCACUAGACACCAGGAACCCAAACAGCCACCUCGGGAGACAUAGGACCGCGCGGCUGUGCUCUGUGCAGCUGCAGUGAAAAGUCUGUGCUUAGAGGAUUUAACUUCAGGCUGUCUGGGCACAAAAGACUAAUGCUCUCCUAGAGGAGUAUGUUUGUUUUGUUCCAGGAAAGGACGAUUCUCACCAUAACAGCAGGAAUGGUGCAGAGGAAAAGGGAGGAAGCAAAGCAGAAUAUCAAUGGAAGAGGCCUUCCCAGAACCAGGACGGAGAUAAUGCUCCCUUGACUCCUGGCCAGGCAGGCAGGGAGACGGGACUGCUGGGCAGGGAUCUGCCUGCCUAACCCCCUCCUUCAGAGGGAUUUGACCACUCAUGGAAGCCUGUGCUGGAAGCUUGUGGGAUUCAGCCAGCUCCAGUCCCACCCAUUCCUGCUCAGCCCCCGUCUCCCAUUUUCUCCAGCUUUGAUUCCACACUGAUUUGCGACUCUCCGCACAUGGGUCAGUUCCCUUUGGCAGCAUUCACCUGAGCCACAGGGAGAGGUGUGCCCCAUGCUGCCUGCUGGAUGCCCUUUCCCGGACAGGUGACGGUGGGCACACUCUUGGUGCCACUUCCCUCAUGGAUGAAAAUGAUGACCAAUUAACAGGGUUGUCAUGAAGAUGAAUUAAAAGAUAUAGAUCACUA
This 2052-nucleotide long non-coding RNA is filed under the name Homo sapiens (human). RNAcentral's name for it is "HSALNT0392810". The record is from RNAcentral. Lineage: Eukaryota; Metazoa; Chordata; Mammalia; Primates; Hominidae.